UCUAUCGGGUUUUACCUGAUCGAGUUGUAAUUUGAAGAUGGCGUUUUCUGUGUUUCUGAUCAGUCCAAGUCCUUUGGGAUAAGGCAUCAUGGAGGGUGAGAAUCCCGUUCGGUUGAUCAGAUUCGCUUUACGAUACGUUAUCAAAGAGUCAAGUUGUUUGGGAUUGCAGCUUAAAAUGGGAGGUAAAUUUCUCCUAAGGCUAAAUAACGGCGAGAGACCGAUAGCGAACAAGUACCGUGAGGGAAAGAUGAAAAGAACUUUGAAAAGAGAGUUAAACAGUACGUGAAAUUGUUGAAAGGGAAACGAUUGAAGCCAGUCGUACCUUCGGGUAAUCAGCCUUUUGGGUGUGAUUUUGUGGAGCGUGAAGAGUUAAACGCCUUCAUGCUUGCAUAUUCGUGCACUUUGGGUGUACUUGCCCGUAUGGUUGGUUAACAUCAAUUUUGGUGGUCAUAAAAUGACUGGAGGAAUGUAGCUUCGAUCUCGUAUUGAAGUAUUAUAGCCUUCGGUAGAUGUGAUGAUCGAGAUUGAGGAUUGCAACGGAUACCCUUUGGGGCUACCUGUCUGAUCUCUGAUCGUUGCUUUGGUGCCGAAAGCUUGCUUACGGUUAUCAAAGUCGAUGGUCAAUAGGUUAGAACGGGUUAAAUUCGUUAAGGAUGUUGACGUAAUGGCUUUAAACGAC
Molecule: ribosomal RNA, 679 nt
Filed under: Rhizophagus cf. intraradices HG-2010
Lineage: Eukaryota; Fungi; Glomeromycota; Glomeromycetes; Glomerales; Glomeraceae
Description: eukaryotic LSU rRNA
Rfam family: Eukaryotic large subunit ribosomal RNA
Source: RNAcentral